UACGUAGGGUGCGAGCGUUGUCCGGAAUUAUUGGGCGUAAAGAGCUCGUAGGCGGUCUGUCGCGUCGGUCGUGAAAACUUGGGGCUUAACCCUGAGCUUGCGGUCGAUACGGGCAUGACUGGAGUUCGGCAGGGGAGACUGGAAUUCCUGGUGUAGCAGUGAAAUGCGUAGAGAUCAUGAGGAAGACCAGUGGCGAAGGCGGGUCUCUGGACAGUUCCUGACACUGAGGCACGAAGGCCAGGGGAGCAAACGGG
RNAcentral lists this ribosomal RNA (254 nucleotides) under uncultured bacterium. Its description in RNAcentral is "partial 16S ribosomal RNA". It matches the Rfam family "Bacterial small subunit ribosomal RNA", at positions 524 to 776 of the family's 1533-position model. The record is from RNAcentral.